Long non-coding RNA from Gallus gallus (chicken), 2011 nucleotides. Lineage: Eukaryota; Metazoa; Chordata; Aves; Galliformes; Phasianidae. The record is from Ensembl.
CAGGCUGCCCCAGCCAACUGCACAGAUAGCGCGUUCCAGAAGCAAACAAACUCACCAGCAAUCAUCUACUGAGUAACAAAAGCCUGCUUCAUCAAAAGCCCCUCUAUAUGCACGCUCCAAAAUACAGCCUUGGCGAUUUCACUGUGCUGUCCUGUCCAAUGUUUGCAGCUGUUUUCUAAAAAGCAAGAGGAGAAAUUAUGCUCACAAUCUGGUUGUUGUUCCCUCAAGUCACAAUAUCCAACUUUUUGUGGAAAGGAGGGAACCUCUAUACAAUUAUUUAUUUUUGCUAAUACAGCAACACUGCAAAUUAAGUAAAUUACAAGGCAUCAGGGUAUCAUCUAAGUCUCUAUGCAGUCCUGCAUUUCAAUCCAAGUAUUAUACAAAAACAAGAACAACAAUAACCAAAAAAAACCCACCUCCCACUAAAUCUCAACUGUUCCUCCAUUCGGAGGGAACCAGUAAGGUGCAAUAAACACUGAAAUAUACUGAAAUGCAUUUGUUAGCCAUCAACCCUUCUAAACUUUCUUGUUUAGCUGACAAAAUUGAUCCUUACCAAAAAACUUGGAGAGAGAUCUCCAACCCAAGUUCACUGUCACAAGUUACUUUGAUGUUCUUCCAGAUUAAUACAGCUGUAGCACUUCCUGUGUUACUGCAGGCAUCCUGCUGUCUGGAAACCACCUUCCCAAACAGGCAGGCCUAUUUGCUCCUUCAGAACACUGCUGAAAACAUCCACCUUCUGCCUGCGACUAGGAAUCACUGUUGCUACAGUUAAACGCUAUUUCAAACAUAAACUUCAGAAUUAAUUGUAAUGAUAAAAGAGGUAAUUUUUCACACUUCAGCAUAAAAUGCAAUUUUAUAUAAAAACUAAAAAAAGUCAUCAGGCUUGAAGGAAUGAAGCAGAGCUCUUUUGUAAUCCAGAUUUUCAAUCAGUGCUUGCUUUGUAUGUAUAGAUAAACAAAUUUCCACUACUAUUUCAUCCAAGAAGUCUUGCUUCUCUUAGAAAGCAAAUGGUAAAACACCAGACAGCGAAUAUUCUUACAAGUGCUUACUCCAUCUUAAAAACAACAUUCUAAACGAAACCCACACGCUCCUAACCCCACCCAAAUUCCACAGAAGCCAGUGUGAAUCCAGCAAGAGCCUGAUGAAGUACAUGGUACUGCUCACCACAGAGCUGACCACCGUCCAGCGAUCUAUCCAUCGCUAUUCUGAAAGCCACCAAAAUGCUACAACUUCAUACUCAAGUUGGAUAUAAUAAAAAAAAAAAGCAAACAAACAACAGUGAAAAGCCCACCAAACUAGUAAAAAAGAAAAAUGAUGAGCACUGGUUGAUAAGUUGGAGAAGGCGAACCAAAGGGAGGCGCUGGAAAACAGAGCUGAAGCAAGCCCUGAGCCUCUUCAAAAUCACACUCCGUAGAGCACAAAAACUGUAAAGACUGCAGAAUGACAGUUCGGCUUGAAAAUACUUUCCUUGCUUAUCUGCCAAAUUUCCUGCAAGCAGAGAAGGAUUUGCUACUCAGUGAGGUAUCUAUACAGAUUGUUCUCCCUGUCCUAUUCACCAUCUACUUUUCCAAAUCUUUUGGAUAUCAGUUGAAUUUUUGAAAGUAGACUUAACCACGGAUUUCAACUUUUAAAAUUCAGUCAACAUUCUCUGGUCUGGGAGAAGACUUCUUCCACAGAACAUGAAUGGAGAAUUUGGAGAUGCCAGGGAUUAAACCCGAGACCUCAUACGUGCAAAGCGUGUGCUCUACCACUGAGCUACAUCCCCUGCCAGACAAAGAGAAAGUGGAAUUUGCACUCAUUGCAACCUGAAUGCUUUCCUUUCAUAGCUCUGAGUACAAGUUGUCUUCUUUAAGCUGAUCUGUACCCUUCAACCUCGUUGCUUUUCUCACAAGAUACUGAAACAAAACAUUCAGCUUGGGGUUUCAAAGAAACACUUUGUUCAACUAGACACAGCAGUUUUCAGCAUUUGAUUGCCACAAAAGGAGAAAGAAAGAAAGAAAAAGAAAGAAAG